This 206-nucleotide ribosomal RNA is filed under the name uncultured bacterium. RNAcentral's name for it is "partial 16S ribosomal RNA". It matches the Rfam family "Bacterial small subunit ribosomal RNA", at positions 568 to 773 of the family's 1533-position model. The record is from RNAcentral.
CGUGUAGGCGGCCGACUAAGUCUGAUGUGAAAUACCCGCUUUUAAGGUGGGUCGUGCAUUGGAAACUGGAUGGCUAGAGUGCGGAAGAGGUAAGUGGAAUUCCCGGUGUAACGGUGGAAUGUGUAGAUAUCGGGAGGAACACCAGUGGCGAAGGCGGCUUCCUGGCACACAACUGACGCUCAUGUGCGAAAGCCAGGGCAGCAACG